AGUUUGUACAUAGCAGCGGACGGGUGAGUAAUGCAUGGGUGAACUGUCCUCAGGAGGGGGAUAACUCUGGGAAACUGGAGCUAAUACCCCGUAAGUCGUGAGAUAAAAGGAGAAAUCCGCCUGGGGAUGUGCCCGUGUCCUAUUAGCUAGUUGGGGGGUUAAGAGCCUCCCAAGGCGAUGAUGGGUAGCCGGCCUGAGAGGGUGUCCGGCCACACUGGAACUGAGAUACGGUCCAGACUCCUACGGGAGGCAGCAGUGGGGAAUUUUGGGCAAUGGGGGCAACCCUGACCCAGCGACGCCGCGUGAGGGAAGAAGUUCUUCGGGACGUAAACCUCUGUUGUGGGAGAAGAAGUCAGUGACGGUAUCCCACGAGUAAGCCCCGGCUAACAACGUGCCAGCAGCCGCGGUAAUACGUAGGGGGCGAGCGUUAUCCGGAAUUACUGGGCGUAAAGGGCUCGUAGGCUGUUGUACAAGUCUGUCGUUUAAUGCAACGGCUCAACCGUUGAGGUGCGAUGGAAACUGUAUGACUAGGGUGCAGGAGAGGUAAGCGGAAUACCCGGUGUAGCGGUGGAAUGCGUAGAUAUCGGGAGGAACACCGGUGGCGAAGGCGGCUUACUGGUCUGUAACCGACGCUGAGGAGCGAAAGCCAGGGUAGCGAACCGGAUUAGAUACCCGGGUAGUCCUGGCCGUAAACGAUGGACACUAGGUGUGGGUGCUUUCGGGCAUCCGUGCCUCAGCAAACGCGGUAAGUGUCCCGCCUGGGGAGUACGGCCGCAAGGUUGAAACUCAAAGGAAUUGACGGGGGCCCGCACAAGCGGUGGAGCACGUGGUUUAAUUCGAUGCAAACCGAAGAACCUUACCUGGGUUUGACAUCUGCGUGGUACUGAAAUGAAAGUGGAAGGACUUAGGGGGCGACUCUUGAGAGCGCAGACAGGUGCUGCAUGGCCGUCGUCAGCUCGUGUCGUGAGAUGUUGGGUUAAGUCCCGCAACGAGCGCAACCCCUACAACUGGUUGCCAACAGGUUAAGCUGGGGACUCCAGUUGGACUGCCGGCGACGAGCCGGAGGAAGGUGGGGAUGACGUCAAGUCCUCAUGGCCUUUAUGCCCAGGGCUACACACGUGCUACAAUGGACGGUACAACGGGAAGCGAGACCGCGAGGUGGAGCGAAUCCCAUCAAAGCCGUCCCCAGUUCGGAUUGCAGUCUGCAACUCGACUGCAUGAAGCCGGAAUCGCUAGUAAUCGCAGAUCAGCAAAGCUGCGGUGAAUACGUUCCCGG
This 1276-nucleotide ribosomal RNA is filed under the name uncultured bacterium. Its description in RNAcentral is "bacterial SSU rRNA". It matches the Rfam family "Bacterial small subunit ribosomal RNA", at positions 83 to 1377 of the family's 1533-position model. The record is from RNAcentral.